Molecule: ribosomal RNA, 465 nt
Filed under: uncultured bacterium
Lineage: Bacteria
Description: partial 16S ribosomal RNA
Rfam family: Bacterial small subunit ribosomal RNA
Source: RNAcentral
CCUACGGGGGGCUGCAGUGGGGAAUCUUGCGCAAUGCUCGUAAGAGUGACGCAGCGACGCCGCGUGAAUGACGAAGGCCUUCGGGUCGUAAAGUUCUUUCGACAGGGAAGAAAAUGCCUAUAAGUAACUGUGUAUGUAUUGACGGUACCUGUAUAAGCAGCCCCGGCUAACUCCGUGCCAGCAGCCGCGGUAAUACGGAGGGGGCGAGCGUUGUUCGGAGUGACUGGGCGUAAAGAGCACGUAGGCGGUGUUGUAAGUCAUUAGUCAAAGACUAGAGCUCAACUUUAGUAAGGCUAGUGAUACUAUAAUACUAGAAUAUCAGAGAGGAUUGCAGAAUUCCUGGUGUAGCGGUGAAAUGCGUAGAUAUCAGGAGGAAUACCGUUAGCGAAGGCGGCAAUCUGGCUGGAAACUGACGCUGAGGUGCGAAAGCGUGGGUAGCAAACAGGAUUAGAUACCCCUGUAGUC